GGGCCCGUAGCCUAGCGGACAAGGCGGCAGCCUUCGGAGUUGCAGAUCAGGGGUUCAAAAUUGUAUGGCUCGCAUACAUUGAAAAUCCCCUCGGGCCCG
This 99-nucleotide transfer RNA is filed under the name Thermoplasmata archaeon. RNAcentral's name for it is "tRNA-Arg". It matches the Rfam family "tRNA". Rfam says of the family: Transfer RNA (tRNA) molecules are approximately 80 nucleotides in length. Their secondary structure includes four short double-helical elements and three loops (D, anti-codon, and T loops). Lineage: Archaea; Methanobacteriati; Thermoplasmatota; Thermoplasmata. The record is from RNAcentral. RNAcentral also lists the same sequence under 1 other name.